AGUAAAAUUGUUUAGUUAUAUGAUAACUCUGUUUAAUAUAUUGAGAAAUUGCCAAACUGUUUUCCAUGGUGGCUGUUGUAUUUUACAUUCUCAUCAGCAGU
This 101-nucleotide microRNA precursor is filed under the name Marmota monax (woodchuck). The record is from RNAcentral. Lineage: Eukaryota; Metazoa; Chordata; Mammalia; Rodentia; Sciuridae.